Molecule: unclassified non-coding RNA, 402 nt
Filed under: soil metagenome
Description: partial contains 5.8S ribosomal RNA, internal transcribed spacer 2, and large subunit ribosomal RNA
Rfam family: 5.8S ribosomal RNA (bases 1-121)
Source: RNAcentral
GAUGAAGAACGUAGCGAAAUGCGAUAAGUAAUGUGAAUUGCAGAAUUCAGUGAAUCAUCGAAUCUUUGAACGCACCUUGCGCCCUUUGGCUAUUCCGAAGGGCAUGCCUGUUUGAGUAUCGUGAACACCUCAACUCUCAUGGUUUGCCAUGAUGAGCUUGGACUUUGGGGGUUUUGCUGGCCUUUGGUCGGCUCCUCUCAAACGGAUCAGCUUUCCAGUGUUUGGUGGCGUCACGGGUGUGAUAACUAUCUACGCCUGUGGUUUUCUGCCAGAUAACCUUCAGCGAUGGAGGUUCGCUGGGGCUCAUAAAUGUCUCUCUUCAGUGGAGAUAGCUUUUUGGACGUUUGAUCUCAAAUCAGGUAGGACUACCCGCUGAACUUAAGCAUAUCAAUAAGCGGAGGA